This is an RNA transcript of Lagenorhynchus albirostris (white-beaked dolphin), 3644 nucleotides long. It is a transcript of the gene named glucoside xylosyltransferase 2, with no coding region annotated. Lineage: Eukaryota; Metazoa; Chordata; Mammalia; Artiodactyla; Delphinidae. The record is from RefSeq and is a predicted model, not a curated record. The transcript is spliced from 10 exons.
GGUCUCGCUCUCUCGCUCGCUUCCCCCGGCUCCCUUCGGUGCCCCCCCCGGUCGCCUGCGUGCCGGAGUGUGUGCAAGGGAGGGGGAGGGCGUCGGGGGGGUGGGGGGAGGCCUUCCAGUCCCCGGGAGAUCCGCGGAAGGAGGCGGAGGCUGCGAGGGGCUCCGUGAAGCCAUGGACGUCGAGAGGCUGCAGGAGGCGCUGAAAGAUUUUGAGAAGAGGGGGAAAAAGGAAGUUUGUCCGGUCCUGGAUCAGUUUCUUUGUCAUGUAGCCAAGACUGGAGAAACAAUGAUUCAGUGGUCCCAGUUUAAAGGCUAUUUUAUUUUCAAACUGGAGAAAGUGAUGGAUGAUUUCAGAACUUCAGCUCCUGAACCAAGAGGUCCUCCCAACCCUAAUGUCGAAUAUAUUCCCUUUGAUGAAAUGAAGGAAAGGAUACUGAAAAUUGUCACUGGAUUUAAUGGUAUACCUUUUACUAUUCAGCGACUAUGUGAAUUGCUCACAGAUCCAAGGAGAAACUAUACAGGAACAGACAAAUUUCUCAGAGGAGUAGAAAAGAAUGUGAUGGUGGUUAGCUGUGUUUAUCCUUCUUCAGAGAAGAACAGUUCCAAUAGUUUAAAUCGAAUGAAUGGUGUUAUGUUUCCUGGAAAUUCACCAAGUUACACUGAAAGGUCUAAUAUAAAUGGACCUGGAACACCCAGGCCACUUAAUCGACCAAAGGUUUCUUUGUCAGUCCCCAUGACAACAAAUGGCUUACCUGAGAGCACAGACAGCAAAGAGUCAAACUUAAAGCAAAAUGAGGAUAAAAAUCACAGUGACUCUUCGACAUCUGAAUCAGAAGGUUCCUCAGUGAGCCCUAUAAAAAAUAAACAUCCAGAUGAAGAUGCUGUGGAAGCUGAGGGACGUGAGGUAAAAAGACUCAGGUUUGACAAAGAAAGCGACGUCAGAGAGAUGGCCAGUCAGACAUCUUCCAGUGAAAUUUCUUCAGUUAUGGUAGAAGAAACAGAAGCUCCAUCUUCAUCUCAGAAUAACGACAAAGAAAUUAGUUGUACCAGGCAGCACUGUACAGAAGAGGAUGAAGAAGAGGAUGAAGAGGAAGAAGAGUCUUUUAUGACAUCAAGAGAAAUGAUCCCAGAAAGGAAAAAUCAAGAAAAAGAAUCUGAUGAUGCCUUAACUGUGAAUGAAGAGACUUCUGAGGAAAAUAAUCAAAUGGAGGAAUCUGAUCUGACUCAAGUUGAGAGAGGUUUACAUUCUGAAGGUAGUGAAAAUACCGGCCCUGUAAGUAGUUCCAGUUGCCAUGAAACGGAAGAAUUAAUAGGAUCCAAUUCCAGUAAAACUGGAGAGAUUCUCUCAGAAUCUUCCAUGGAAGCCACAGAAGUCACAGAUGAACCAAUGGAACAAGACUAACUAUUUAGAAAUAUUUAGAUGCAGUAUUUUCCAUACAGUUCUGGUUUCACACUGUAUAAAACUUUUAUGUAAUAAAGUGGACCUUUAGUUUUACAAGAGAAGCAGGUUGUAAAAUAAAGUACUGUAUGGGAUCAAUCCUGAAAGAGUCGCACAUGUAAGAACUAUACCUGAAGUACACAGAUGAACUUAUAAAACUGAUGCAAACAUUUUCUGACACUGUAUCAUAUGCUCUGGGGUGAUUUGGGCGGCAACCACAAGUUUUGCAUUUUGCCUACUUCAGUUGCUAUGACUAAAAAUACCAAAAUGAGUUGGCUCCGUUUAUGUCUGUAGGAUAUUAUACUACUGACUGACUUGACUGUCAGGUUUACAGCAGCUAGAUGAUAUAUUUGUGAAUAUGUCUCAUAGUUGAAAUAAAAACUGAGUAUUGAUUUAUUUACUGUUAUUCAAGAGGGGAGGAAAAAAAUCACACGUUGUAAAUUUUAAAAAAAAUUUUGCAAAAAUGUUAAUGAAGCAGAUUUUAAAUGUGACAUUGAUUUGUAGUGACCUAGUCUUUAUUUUCUUGAGGGAUAUUUUGCCAAUGAGAGCAGAUUUUAAACAUUUUAAGUUUAGAAAUUUUGAAAUUUUCUUUAGAAUAUUUAUGAAAUUAUUGUCAAUAAACCUAUUCUUUAAGAUUCUGUGACCUUUUGAUAUUUUUUAUUUUAAUUGUGCCAUGGACCACUUGUAAACUGAUUUACUUUUGUUAAAUAUAAGUUGAAGAUUUAGCGUCAUGACUUUGAGGUCUGUGGUUUUAUUUGUAAACUUGCAGUUGCUGUUUUGGCAAGGGCAAAUGUAUUUCUUUAUUAAAUAAAGUACAAUAAUGGUGAAUGUACCAAAAUGCCAUCACUCAACUCUAUGAGAGAUCUGCAUUUUAAUCUAUAGUUUAAUAGUUUUAAUAUUUAUUAGAUAUUCUUAUGUUGAUCAUAGAUCAAACUUGUUGCUGUUUAUACAGAUAGUUGUAGAAUGCUCAUGGAAUAUUUUCUUUAGGAUAGAUGGAAUACUUAGGUAGUUAAACUGGGAAACCUUGUUCAGCUGGUUGGAGAUACAAUGUCCAUUGGGAAGUAAAUUUCCUCGAGUAUAUGCAUAGGUGCACUUACACAGACUUUGCUUCAUGGAAAUGUCAGUUCUAAUAGUAACUGAUUCAGAUGUGUAUUUUUAGAAGGCUAAUUUUAGGCACAUUUUCUUAACACACAUCAGCAAAGUCAUAUUAAAAGAUCUAAAUGAAGAAUUAGGACUUUGGUGAUUAAAAUAUUAUUUUCUGUUUUGGCCUUGAGCAGAUCGUUUACCUUUAAGACUCUAGACUCUGAACCCAACAUGUAAAAAGAAUUUAAAAUGUUGAUGAGGAGAGCGAGAAUAUACAUGGAAUACACUUUCAGCACUUUUCCCUUUUAAGAAAGUGAAAACAUUAUCCCAGUACAUUUUUUAAAAUAUAUCUUCAGUUCUGAAAAUGUUGGCAGACAGAAAUGAGUAGUGGAAAAUGUCAUAUUUUAUAUGUUUGAUUAUCAGAUACAUUUAAUCCACUUAGGGUUUAUUGUAACUACACCUUUCAGAAGUGUGGAUGGAGCAAUGAAAUUGCCUGUCAGAGCUAUAAAACCCUCUGGCUUGGAAAGGCAUCCCCAGAAACCCUGGGUAAGAAGGCGUGGCCUGUUAAAGCAUGGAGGUUCAGAGUGUUUUAUUUUGCUGGUGUAGAUAGGCAUGUACUUAUGCAUUUUUGCAUUUGUAAAGUCAGCAAUUUUUCAAAUAAUGUAAUUGUAAUAUACUAGUUUACUUAUAAAGAUACUUGGGGCAGAAUCUAAAGCUACGAUGUUUGAGUAUGAGAAAUGUAACGUGUGGUAAGGACAAAAAUGCAAUUUGUAGAACCAAAGGAAAUAAAAAUUUUGGAUAGUGUUUCACAAUGUCUUCUGAACAGGAGUUUCUUAAAUACAUUGGUUUUGAUCAGAUGAAGCUUAGUUCUCUCGAGAUCUGUGCUAAUCAUAAAAUGGAUGAAUGCAAAAACACCUUGUAAUUUCAUAUGGAAUUAUUAUAAUUAGGUUUAUUGGACUAUUGGCCUAGCAAGAAUGCUAGUAUGUAUUGGUUAGAAUACAUCUAAUAUUUCACAUUUUAAAAAUAAUUAGUACACUUUCUUCAGAAUUUUAUUUCAUCAACUUGGAGCCUAGAUUACUUUGCCAAAUAAAUGUAUUAUUUUCAUAAUGCAAUAAAAUAUAAA